Molecule: small nucleolar RNA, 139 nt
Organism: Pseudophryne corroboree (corroboree frog)
Lineage: Eukaryota; Metazoa; Chordata; Amphibia; Anura; Myobatrachidae
Product: small nucleolar RNA SNORA8
Exons: 1
Source: RefSeq, a predicted model, not a curated record
UGCACUGAACGGUAUCUGCACCCAAUGGCUGCUUCCUAUUGUGGUGUUCAUUAACCAGUGCAAUAUUAAAUCAGUAACUGGCAUCGUUGGUUUCCAAGCCUCAUGUGCUUGUAAACCUGGUAUUUAUGCUGAUACAGCU